GGGAUAUUCUGCAUCAAACAUGGGAGUGCAAAGGAGCGGAAGAAGAUCAUCAAAGGGAUGAAAGACAAGGUUGGGAAGGUAGCACGUGAUAAAUGUGGGGCUUUGGUGCUUGUCUCUAUCCUUUCAAUUGUUGAUGACACAAAACUUCUAUCGAAGGUUAUCAUUCGUGAGCUUGAAGGAAUUCUGAAGGAGCUUCUUUCGGAUCAGAAUGGUAGGCGCCCAUUGUUGCAAUUACUGCAUCCAAAUAGCUCGCGUCAUUUCAGCCCUGAUGAGCUAGCAGCCCUUGGUUCAUCUGUUCCUUCGCUUGUCACCAAGAGCCCAUUGGAAGUAAAUGACGCAGAAACUUCAGUGCUUGGUGAAGCUGGUAAAGAAGAUGCUGAUAUCACCAAGAGUUCACAUGUGAAUGAAGGAGGAAAGAAGGAUCCUUUUACAAGGCGGCAAGAAUUAUUGGUCCAUAGUGGACUAGCUGAGAAACUCAUCGAUGCAUGUUGUGAGAUGGCGGAGGAAUUGCUAAGAUCAAACUUCGGGAAAGAUGUCAUAUAUGAGGUUGCCAUGGGAGGUGCUGACAGUAUCCUUAGUCCAACUUUAGAUGGAAAGUUGGAAACCUUACAUGGUGUUAUAGCAUCUCUGGCAGCACAUCCUAAAAAGGAGGGGUCAGAUGAACAACAUCUCUUUGAACACUUCCAUUCCAGCAGGACAAUCAGAAAACUGAUCUUGGACUCCCCUUCUUUUGCUUGCACUUUGUAUGAAAAAGCGUUGAAAGGAAAAUGUUCAAUUUGGGCUCAAGGCCACAGUGCGAAAGUAAUUAGUGCAUUGUUGGAAACUUCAAGUUCUAUGGUACACAAGCUUGUGGAGAAGGAAACGCAACCAUUGGUAGAUGAUGGUAUCCUCAAAUUAGCCAAAUGAUCUCCUAAAGCAGAAUGAGCCUGCAAUGAGGAUGAACUUCUGGUUAAAAAAAUCUACGAAUGAAGUGUCCCAAGGUUAUUAUCAGAUCAAGGAAUGCUUUGGACGAGUUCCUGGAAAAAAUGCCUUUACACUCGGAUGGUGAAGUUUUCUAUCAAGUCAAUGAAUAGGUGAUACAACAAAAGAGUUCUUUUUUGUACCAUAUAUAAAGAUAUGGAACAACACUUCUGGCCUGUCUAAAAUCUUGCUUUGUUUCCUAAUAUUCAGUAAAGCCCUUAUCAUUAAAAC
RNAcentral lists this unclassified non-coding RNA (1191 nucleotides) under Hevea brasiliensis (rubber tree). The record is from RNAcentral. Lineage: Eukaryota; Viridiplantae; Streptophyta; Magnoliopsida; Malpighiales; Euphorbiaceae.